Molecule: long non-coding RNA, 703 nt
Organism: Ficedula albicollis (Collared flycatcher)
Lineage: Eukaryota; Metazoa; Chordata; Aves; Passeriformes; Muscicapidae
Exons: 3
Source: RefSeq, a predicted model, not a curated record
CCACCCAAGGCAUACAAAGUCAUCUUAGAACACAUGUGGGAUUUUACUUGAAGAACUGCAAGUACCCUAUCUGCCUUUUCUUCUCCAGUUUCACGCUCAUGCAAGGAUUCACUUGGAGUGGUCAGCUCAGAGCUCGGCGCUGCACUGGUAGGAAGUGAACAUGCCAGGAGAAAAAAUACGAAACAUGUGAACAUCUCUCAUCAUCUUUAUAAUCUACAAAGCCUUCUGGAUGGGCUUACUAGCACAUCCCUGGAGAGACAGCAGACUCGGUUCCCGAGGUAGUGCGGAGGAGCUGGCUCCCUGCGCGAAGGUCGGACCCAUCCCUUGCAGCGCACUGCCCCCUAGCACAUUCCUGCAGGAUGGAGAAGGACACCGUGCUCGGUCACCAGCGCCUGCGGGACACGGCUUCCCUGGGAAUUUUCACACCACCUAUUGACUCAGCCCAGUCAUGCUUGGCUUGCGGGAUCCGACAGGAUCACAGCAUGAAGUUGUGUGGCUGCUCGGUAAGGCAGAGGUCCUUAAUUGUGUUCAGCAGGGUGUUCUUGAUGGAAGACUGGAACAACAUAGAUUUCUUUAUUUGGUGACAUUAACCGAACGUGAACUCGAAUUUUCUCAUAUGAAGAUGGAGGUCUCUGUUUUCUCCUUCUUUCAAUGCUACCUUCUUUAUGGCCAUAUAAGGCUUAAAGAUUUAUCUGAGCAAAGA